UGGGGAAUAUUGCACAAUGGGCGAAAGCCUGAUGCAGCGACGCCGCGUGAGGGAUGACGGCCUUCGGGUUGUAAACCUCUUUCAGCAGGGACGAAGCGCAAGUGACGGUACCUGCAGAAGAAGCACCGGCUAACUACGUGCCAGCAGCCGCGCUAAUACGUAGGGUGCAAGCGUUGUCCGGAAUUACUGGGCGUAAAGAGUUCGUAGGCGGUUUGUCGCGUCGUUUGUGAAAACCAGCAGCUCAACUGCUGGCUUGCAGGCGAUACGGGCAGACUUGAGUACUGCAGGGGAGACUGGAAUUCCUGGUGUAGCGGUGAAAUGCGCAGAUAUCAGGAGGAACACCGGUGGCGAAGGCGGGUCUCUGGGCAGUAACUGACGCUGAGGAACGAAAGCGUGGGUAGCGAACAGG
RNAcentral lists this ribosomal RNA (409 nucleotides) under bacterium. Its description in RNAcentral is "partial 16S ribosomal RNA". It matches the Rfam family "Bacterial small subunit ribosomal RNA", at positions 355 to 776 of the family's 1533-position model. The record is from RNAcentral.